UUUACCUGAGAUUUGUUCGAGAAUCGAGAGCAAGGAUUUUGCGAACGAGCAUCGUCUGGACGUGGAUGCGACCACGAGAGAAUACCAACCGCCGGAAUAUUCAUACAUUCGCCGGAAAUUGCGGAUAACUCGGCUUCGUUUAAGCGACGGAAAACUGCAUAGCUCCGGAUGGGCCCAUGUUUUAGGAUGGUUAACAAAGAGACAAGACGGAGGUGAAAAAGAAAACAGGACAUGGGGCGGCAACGAAGAGAAAUGAAGGCACGAAACUAACAAACGUCUGCAAACGUCACUGCUAGCGUUCCUGCUAACCGCGCGUCUGAUGAAAUCACAAGAGAAAAUGUGGAAGCGAGCGAAGACGCGUGAAAUUGAAGAAAGAGGAGAAAAGAGAAAAAAAAGUGGCAAAAGGAAGGGUGGAAGAUAGGGGUGACUGGUGAUACCAUCCGAUCUAAUUCCAAAGGGUUACGUUCGACGUGGCAGCCUGCUCCGCUGUAGAAUUUUUACCCGCGACCAACGGAGACGAGGAAGAAAGAAAAAAGAAAAGGAAAGGGAUGCGGAAAAAGUGCAGUCAGGAAAUCGGAUCUGUGCCACGAAAAGGAACUUACCGGAAGUUCCUCUCGCGCUGCCUCCUCUCUGUUCCCUUUUAUCCCUUCUCCGCCGGCCGUCGCUAUCUUUCUACGAGCAGUGUUUCCGCGAGAGUAAAUUCAUUUUCAGGCACGAGGCGGCCCGGUUUGAAAAAAUCUGUCGCGCGGUGAUUUGAAUUUAAGAGUUCGCUCGUGAAAUCGUAUUACGUCGUGGCACCGCGGCGCUGGCCACUCGAGGAAAUCGGAAAUAAACGCCGGUGCACAUUUCUCUGUAAGAAAAAGAGAUAAAGGAGAUCGGCGAAAGAAGCGAGAUAGGCUCUAGCCGGCAAGAGAAUCGGAAAUGAAAAGAAACGACGCUUGCCGCAAGAGCUCGCGUGAUAAAAUGCACUACCAUUUACGAGUAUUACUGGUCACAUCCAAUACGCGAUACGUGUCUGAAAUUAUUACGAAAGUGAUUGAUCGAUUAGAACAAUGCAAAAUAUGAACGAAAUAAGAAUCUGGAAUAUGCGACAAAAAUUACGGAGAAAUAAUGUAUUGAUUAUUAUAUGUUCGUAUAUAUGUAUAAUAUACGAUCCUUUGUUUGAUCAAAAUCUCGUUAUGGAUUCAUUUGUGAGUUGCGUAAGACCAAA
Bombus pascuorum is the source of this 1210-nucleotide long non-coding RNA. RefSeq lists it as uncharacterized. The record is from RefSeq and is a predicted model, not a curated record. The transcript is spliced from 3 exons. NCBI's taxonomy places the organism in Eukaryota, Metazoa, Arthropoda, Insecta, Hymenoptera, Apidae.